RNAcentral lists this unclassified non-coding RNA (159 nucleotides) under uncultured Diaporthe. Its description in RNAcentral is "sequence contains ITS2". The record is from RNAcentral. Lineage: Eukaryota; Fungi; Ascomycota; Sordariomycetes; Diaporthales; Diaporthaceae.
CAACCCUCAAGCACUGCUUGGUGUUGGGGCACUGCCUGUAAAAGGGCAGGCCCUGAAAUUCAGUGGCGAGCUCGCCAGGACCCCGAGCGCAGUAGUUAAACCCUCGCUUUGGAAGGCCCUGGCGGUGCCCUGCCGUUAAACCCCCCAACUCUUGAAAAU